Molecule: ribosomal RNA, 429 nt
Filed under: uncultured bacterium
Lineage: Bacteria
Description: bacterial SSU rRNA
Rfam family: Bacterial small subunit ribosomal RNA
Source: RNAcentral
UGGGGAAUUUUGCGCAAUGGGCGAAAGCCUGACGCAGCAACGCCGCGUGAGUGAUGAAGGCCCUCGGGUCGUAAAGCUCUGUCAGAGGGGAAGAAACUUUUGGGGGAGAAUAUCCCUUGAAACUGACGGUACCCUCAAAGGAAGCACCGGCUAACUCCGUGCCAGCAGCCGCGGUAAUACGGAGGGUGCAAGCAUUGUUCGGAAUUAUUGGGCGUAAAGCGCGUGUAGGCGGCUAUUUAAGUCUGAUGUGAAAGCCCGGGGCUCAACCCCGGAAGUGCAUUGGAAACUGGAUAGCUUGAGUACGGGAGAGGGUAGUGGAAUUUCGAGUGUAGGGGUGAAAUCCGUAGAUAUUCGAAGGAACACCGGUGGCGAAGGCGGCUACCUGGACCGAUACUGACGCUGAGACGCGAAAGCGUGGGGAGCAAACAG